Molecule: long non-coding RNA, 409 nt
Organism: Pygocentrus nattereri (red-bellied piranha)
Lineage: Eukaryota; Metazoa; Chordata; Actinopteri; Characiformes; Serrasalmidae
Exons: 2
Source: RefSeq, a predicted model, not a curated record
GGCGGAGCUCGACAGCUAUGGUCAUACCACAGGGACACGGGCAAGAGGAUAAGAAGCUGAAAACGUUUGCAGUGUUGGUCAGGAUGAGAAGAGCACUGAGCAGAACCGCAAUCACAGCUCCAAACAGCAAGGUCAGCAGGUGGAACACCUCAGGAGGAGAGCAGGAUUCUGAAAAGCAACAGAAAACCCACAGUUUUACUUUUAAAAUACAGACAUUGACAAUAAACUGUAAAUAAUUAGAUUUUUUCUGAAACUGUCAAAGCUGCAUUGACCAUUAUAGUAAUAGCAGCUUAUCAACACACCAGACUGGAGGAGCAGUGAAUACAGUGAAUGACAAACCUUCAGAUUUCUCUGGAUUCCUGUAAGAUACUUGACUUUUCUCUGAAAUAAAAUUUAUAUUUGAGUGCAA